CGGCAACAGCUCAAAUUUGAAAUCUGGCUCUCGGGCCCGAGUUGUAAUUUGUAGAGGAUACUUUUGAUGCGGUGCCUUCCGAGUUCCCUGGAACGGGACGCCAUAGAGGGUGAGAGCCCC
RNAcentral lists this ribosomal RNA (120 nucleotides) under Fusarium sp. Its description in RNAcentral is "partial large subunit ribosomal RNA". The record is from RNAcentral. Lineage: Eukaryota; Fungi; Ascomycota; Sordariomycetes; Hypocreales; Nectriaceae.